Long non-coding RNA from Empidonax traillii (willow flycatcher), 472 nucleotides. RefSeq lists it as uncharacterized. Lineage: Eukaryota; Metazoa; Chordata; Aves; Passeriformes; Tyrannidae. The record is from RefSeq and is a predicted model, not a curated record. The transcript has 4 exons.
GGGUUUCAAAAAAGUGACAUGGAAGAGAAAUCUCUUGAGGUUGUUACAUAGAAAGACACCACCCUCUCAAGCUCCUGAGGUUUCAUAGCAUACUUUCUUUGAUUUUUAUACUCUUCCCUGACAUCUGCUCUUGGUCAUUCCGUGCUGCCAGAGCUCCUGACUGGGUGAAGAGAACAUCAGAAGAGACUCUUCCUGAACUUCACCAAGCAGUAUGGCCUCGUAAUUUGGCUGUCCAGGCUGAAUGUCUCAAGGAAAUGCUUGUGUACUAAGAGGAAAUAAUUCAGGUAGGUGCAGAAUGCCUAAUUAUGGUCAACCUAACUAAUUUGGGUUAGAAAUGGAGGAGAUUCUGUCAAAGUCAUUACAGCUACCCUCUGCAAGUAAGUAACUUUGCUGGAAGAGAAAAGGUGAUUGGUAGUGUCUGAGCAGCAUCACAGCAGCUCUAACUACACAAAUAGAAGAACUGGCAGAUUGU